RNAcentral lists this long non-coding RNA (806 nucleotides) under Olea europaea subsp. europaea. Lineage: Eukaryota; Viridiplantae; Streptophyta; Magnoliopsida; Lamiales; Oleaceae. The record is from RNAcentral.
CUUUCUCUAUAAUCAUAAUGAAAAAAAAAAAAUUACAGAAAAAUUCUCGUGGUUCUUAAUGUACCUACAGACAGAUGUAUCAUUCUAUCCUUUUCUUGGCGCAUUUUAAUUUAUGUGAUUUAUUCAUGGAGUACCAAAUAUGUUUUUUUCCCCUUUUACCAAGAACUCAAAAGAUUUAAACUGACAAUCAUCACCCUCGCACUCCUGCAAAAUCCAAUCACUAAUUUUCCAAAUGUUCUGCAGUUGACAGGAAUUCUUCAGACUCCACUGCAAAUCCUCGGACGAGACACUUGACCUCUACGCUCCACGGCCAAAUCAGGUAUUAUAUAGAUCUCGCAUAUCCAAGGUCAAUGAAAAAGGCUGAAGCACCCUCUUCUUCGAAAGCAAAAUUGAAGAGGACCUAUAAAAAAAUCAACACCAAAUACUUCUUGAAUAAAGAAGAAGUGAAAAACUCCUUCAAACGACUUCAGAUUGUAUGUUUCUCGGAAAAGCCUCGAACAAACACCAAAAUCUUGAGCAAUGCACGCGAACUCAACAAAGCGUGGGAGAGAGAUUUUUCUCUCGUCGAUGUAGCUGCAAAUCAACUGAAUCUUCGAGAACUGAUUCAGAGAGCACGAUCCACCGUGAAAGAAAUUGAAAACUUCAAUCUUUAGACUCACAGAGAGAUGAGAAGAUUAAGGUUUCGAGGGUUGAGAUAAAAGGAAUCUCGUAAUAUGCUAAAACGAUUGAUUGAUAGAAUAUCAUAUAUAGGGGAAAGUUAAAGUUAAGGCCCCAACCAGGGCGAUGGGCGUGCGACUGGCAUCAUG